AAAUUUAGGUUACUAAAACCAGAGACCUUCAAAGCCUCAAAUAGGACCUAACGCCUAAUUUCUG
RNAcentral lists this transfer RNA (64 nucleotides) under Rhoptropella ocellata (Namaqua day gecko). Its description in RNAcentral is "tRNA-Trp". The record is from RNAcentral. Lineage: Eukaryota; Metazoa; Chordata; Lepidosauria; Squamata; Gekkonidae.